RNAcentral lists this ribosomal RNA (523 nucleotides) under uncultured bacterium. RNAcentral's name for it is "partial 16S ribosomal RNA". It matches the Rfam family "Bacterial small subunit ribosomal RNA", at positions 28 to 523 of the family's 1533-position model. The record is from RNAcentral.
GACGAACGCUGGCGGCGUGCCUAAUACAUGCAAGUCGAACGCUUUUUCUUUCACCGGAGCUUGCUCCAUCGAAAGAAAAAGAGUGGCGAACGGGUGAGUAACACGUGGGUAACCUGCCCAUCAGAAGGGGAUAACACUUGGAAACAGGUGCUAAUACCGUAUAACACUAUUUUCCGCAUGGAAGAAAGUUGAAAGGCGCCUUUGCGUCACUGAUGGAUGGACCCGCGGUGCAUUAGCUAGUUGGUGAGGUAACGGCUCACCAAGGCAACGAUGCAUAGCCGACCUGAGAGGGUGAUCGGCCACACUGGGACUGAGAAACGGCCCCGACUCCUACGGGAGGCAGCAGUAGGGAAUCUUCGGCAAUGGACGAAAGUCUGACCGAGCAACGCCGCGUGAGUGAAGAAGGUUUUCGGAUCGUAAAACUCUGUUGUUAGAGAAGAACAAGGAUGAGAGUAAAAUGUUCAUCCCUUGACGGUAUCUAACCAGAAAGCCACGGCUAACUACGUGCCAGCAGCCGCAGUAA